Molecule: long non-coding RNA, 1356 nt
Organism: Impatiens glandulifera
Lineage: Eukaryota; Viridiplantae; Streptophyta; Magnoliopsida; Ericales; Balsaminaceae
Exons: 2
Source: RefSeq, a predicted model, not a curated record
AGUACAACUGAUAUUUUAUUAUUCCUCAGAAUAGUUGUAUGAAAGAAAAAGAGGUGAAAUGCAGAUAUAGUAAACGAAAGAGAAGAAAUCCAGGUGACGGCCAGGUUGUUUGAUAUUUGAAGAAGUUGAGGAAGAGUUGAUAUUUGAAGAAGUUGAGGAAGAGGGAUUCUUGUUGAUUAUAUACCCAACUGGCUUUACAUUUCUUAAAUCAUUAGAAGUGAGAUCUACCGUUCUUUAACUUCUCAGAUCUAGGUAUACUGCAUCUUUACUCAUGUCGAUCCUCUUCUUUCUUCUCCGCAAUAGAUCUGGAGGUUAUAAAAUAGAUAUGUGAGACUAAGUAGAGUUCUUGUAGGAGAGAGAGGAGAAAUACUAAACAAGAUGAGAAUCAUACCUUUCGAAUUGAAAAUAUUCGGUUUGUUUUUUCGGUCGAUCCAUCCGGUCGGACCGGAUUUUGACCGGUUCGAAAGAUAAGCGUAUUGAAGUCAAAAUCUGGACCGCCCAUUCAGCCAUUUUGCGGUCGGACCAGUUGAAACGUCGGUCGGACCGCGUAUUUUAAAACUAUGAUUUGCGCCUGCACUUGUACCUGCGCUCUAAAAGGGUCAUUAGAAACCUUUCUUUUCUGUCUCGCGUCCUCUCUAUUCAAUUAACUUUCUCAUGUGUUGGGUUCAUGUAGUUGAGCAAAAAAUGAGGUAAAAUAUUAUUGCCCUUUGUGUUUUGUAAGAUAAAAUAUCAUUUUUUCUUCUUUACUUGGACAGACAGACUAAAUAAUAGUGAGUUAGAAUGAUGAUGCACGAAUCCAUGAAUGGUGGUAACAACAACAACCAUAAUAAUAGUCUUUCCUCAAAGCAACGAUUACGUUGGACACACGAGCUUCACGAAUAUUUUGUUGAAGUUGUUGCUCAAUUGGGUGGCCCAAAUCGUGUUACUCCAAAAGGUGUUCUUAGAGUGAUGGGAGUGCAAUGCCUUACUAUAGUAGUGGGCUUCAAAUCACGGAAGCGUUGAAACUUCAAAUGGAAGUGCAAAAGGGGCUUCAUGAGCAAUUAGAGGUGCAAAAGCCCAAGGAAAGUAUUUAAAAAAAAUAAUGGAGUCGAGUUUGAGCAAAACGCCUUAUCAUCCUCAGCAAAUGCAUUCGGUCUUUCUUUCUAGAGAAUAGUUUAACAACCAUUCUUCCUCUUUUGGGAAUGCUCAUCAGUUGGAGAAUGAUUCAAGCAGCAAUAUUUAGGAUUUGUGUAUUAAUUAUUGUGUGGUCUCCUCUUAGAGCUUCAUUUUAGUUUGUAGAUGGUUAUCAGGUUUAAGAUCUGCCACACUUUGCAUUCUGCCCUCUUAUAUAUAAAAUUGCAUGCUUUUUCCUUCUUC